Molecule: ribosomal RNA, 392 nt
Filed under: Triglochinura langei
Lineage: Eukaryota; Metazoa; Arthropoda; Arachnida; Opiliones; Gonyleptidae
Description: partial small subunit ribosomal RNA
Source: RNAcentral
GGAUUAGAUACCCUAGUAUAUUAUUUUUUAUGAUUAGUAAAUUAUGAUUGAAAAUUAAUAAAUUUGGCGGUUAAGUUAUUUAUUAGAGGAGCUUGUUUAAUUAGAAAUUGCUCUUUAUAUUUAAAAUGUACUAUGUUUAUUCAUCUCCGUUAUUAAUGCAAUUUAUGUUACCAAGAUUUAAAACUUAUAACUUCAGGUCUAGAUGUAGCUUUUGUACAAAAAUAAAUUAGCUACAUUUAUGUAAUAUUUGGCUUUAAAUAAUGAAAUUUUUUAAUAAAAUUGAAUUUGAUUGUAAUAGUUUAAUUAAAAAAUUAAUAUGAAAUUUAUUAAUUAAUGUAUAUAUUGCCCGUCACUUCUAAAAAAUAAAUUUUAGAAUAAGUCGUAACAAAGUA